This 492-nucleotide ribosomal RNA is filed under the name uncultured bacterium. Its description in RNAcentral is "partial 16S ribosomal RNA". It matches the Rfam family "Bacterial small subunit ribosomal RNA", at positions 29 to 507 of the family's 1533-position model. The record is from RNAcentral.
AGUGAACGCUGGCGGUAGGCCUAACACAUGCAAGUCGAACGGCAGCACCGUAAGAGCUUGCUCUUACGGGUGGCGAGUGGCGGACGGGUGAGGAAUACAUCGGAAUCUACUUUUUCGUGGGGGAUAACGUAGGGAAACUUACGCUAAUACCGCAUACGACCUACGGGUGACAGCAGGGGAUCUUCGGACCUUGCGCGAUUGAAUGAGCCGAUGUCGGAUUAGCUAGUUGGCGGGGUAAAGGCCCACCAAGGCGACGAUCCGUAGCUGGUCUGAGAGGAUGAUCAGCCACACGGGAACGGAGACACGGUCCAGACGCCUACGGGAGGCAGCAGUGGGGAAUAGUGGACAAUGGGCGCAAGCCUGAUCCAGCCAUACCGCGUGGGUGAAGAAGGCCUUCGGGUUGUAAAGCCCUUUUGUUGGGAAAGAAAAGCAGCAGGUUAAUACCCCGCUGUUCUGACGGUACCCAAAGAAUAAGCACCGGCUAACUUCGUG